UCGUAACAAGGUUUCCGUAGGUGAACCUGCGGAAGGAUCAUUACCGAGUGAGGGCCCUUUGGGUCCAACCUCCCACCCGUGUUUAUUUUACCUUGUUGCUUCGGCGGGCCCGCCUUUACUGGCCGCCGGGGGGCUCACGCCCCCGGGCCCGCGCCCGCCGAAGACACCUCCGAACUCUGUCUGAAGAUUGAAGUCUGAGUGAAAAUAUAAAUUAUUUAAAACUUUCAACAACGGAUCUCUUGGUUCCGGCAUCGAUGAAGAACGCAGCGAAAUGCGAUACGUAAUGUGAAUUGCAAAUUCAGUGAAUCAUCGAGUCUUUGAACGCACAUUGCGCCCCCUGGUAUUCCGGGGGGCAUGCCUGUCCGAGCGUCAUUGCUGCCCUCAAGCCCGGCUUGUGUGUUGGGCCCCGUCCUCCGAUUCCGGGGGACGGGCCCGAAAGGCAGCGGCGGCACCGCGUCCGGUCCUCGAGCGUAUGGGGCUUUGUCACCCGCUCUGUAGGCCCGGCCGGCGCUUGCCGAUCAACCCAAAUUUUUAUCCAGGUUGACCUCGGAUCAGGUAGGGAUACCCGCUGAACUUAAGCAUAUCAAUAA
This 590-nucleotide unclassified non-coding RNA is filed under the name Penicillium tricolor. RNAcentral describes it as "sequence contains 18S rRNA gene, ITS1, 5.8S rRNA gene, ITS2, 28S rRNA gene". The stretch from base 220 to 372 matches the Rfam family "5.8S ribosomal RNA". Lineage: Eukaryota; Fungi; Ascomycota; Eurotiomycetes; Eurotiales; Aspergillaceae. The record is from RNAcentral.